CAUAGCCUUAUUGUACUGUACAGUUAUUAUAUAAGGUAACUUCUGCCCAGUGAUGUUUAGUUUAACGGCUGCAGUACUCUGACUGUACUAAGGUAGCAUAAUAAAUUGACUAUUAAUUGUGGUCUGGGAUUAAUGGAUGAAACGGGGUUAAUCUGUCUCCUUGUUUAAUGCUUCGAACUUAGUUAUAAGGUGAAAAUACCUUAACAUGUAAAUAAAAGACGAGAAGACCCUUAAAGUUUUUAUAACUAGUACUUUUUUAUCUUAAUUUUUGUUGGGGUGACAAGUAAACAGUAAUAUAUAACUUUCCUACAAUAUUACACUACAUAAAAAGUUACUUUAUAGUGGGAAAACUACUUAAGGGAUAACAGCAUAAUCCUUUUUAGGGAUUAUGACCUCGAUGUUGGACUAGGGACCUAAUGAUAAGAAGUCAAAAUGGGAGGUUCUGUUCGAACUUUUAAAUCCUACGUGAUCUGA
RNAcentral lists this ribosomal RNA (474 nucleotides) under Streptartemon waukeen. RNAcentral describes it as "partial large subunit ribosomal RNA". It matches the Rfam family "Archaeal large subunit ribosomal RNA", at positions 1906 to 2677 of the family's 2987-position model. The record is from RNAcentral. Lineage: Eukaryota; Metazoa; Mollusca; Gastropoda; Stylommatophora; Streptaxidae.